CAUAAUUAUCUAGUAAUUUCAAAAUUUUUUCACAUAUAUAAUUCAAAUUGAUUUGCUUUUCCUAAAAUACCGUGUUAUACUAAUGUAAGAUUAUUUUUGUGGGUGAAAGAUACGAUUGUGAACAACUUUCCAUCUCGUGCCGUUAAGCAAGAAUAGUAAAUAAUUAGUGUGCAUAACACACGAGGAGGAACAUGAACAUGGAACAAGGUACAGUAAAAUGGUUUAACGCAGAAAAAGGAUUUGGUUUUAUCGAACGCGAAAACGGUGACGAUGUAUUCGUACAUUUCAGCGCUAUCCAAGGCGACGGAUUCAAAUCUUUAGACGAAGGUCAAGCAGUAACUUUCGACGUUGAAGAAGGCCAACGCGGACCUCAAGCAGCUAACGUUCAAAAAGCGUAAUUCUAUUUUUUGAAUAAGAAAAAGCAAAUCAUUUCGGUGAUUUGCUUUUUU
Molecule: unclassified non-coding RNA, 449 nt
Filed under: Listeria monocytogenes
Lineage: Bacteria; Bacillati; Bacillota; Bacilli; Caryophanales; Listeriaceae
Description: cspA
Source: RNAcentral